Molecule: ribosomal RNA, 585 nt
Filed under: uncultured bacterium
Lineage: Bacteria
Description: bacterial SSU rRNA
Rfam family: Bacterial small subunit ribosomal RNA
Source: RNAcentral
CCUACGGGAGGCAGCAGUAGGGAAUCUUCGGCAAUGGACGGAAGUCUGACCGAGCAACGCCGCGUGAGUGAAGAAGGUUUUCGGAUCGUAAAGCUCUGUUGUAAGAGAAGAACGAGUGUGAGAGUGGAAAGUUCACACUGUGACGGUAUCUUACCAGAAAGGGACGGCUAACUACGUGCCAGCAGCCGCGGUAAUACGUAGGUCCCGAGCGUUGUCCGGAUUUAUUGGGCGUAAAGCGAGCGCAGGCGGUUAGAUAAGUCUGAAGUUAAAGGCUGUGGCUUAACCAUAGUACGCUUUGGAAACUGUUUAACUUGAGUGCAAGAGGGGAGAGUGGAAUUCCAUGUGUAGCGGUGAAAUGCGUAGAUAUAUGGAGGAACACCGGUGGCGAAAGCGGCUCUCUGGUCUGUAACUGACGCUGAGGCUCGAAAGCGUGGGGAGCGAACAGGAUUAGAUACCCUGGUAGUCCACGCCGUAAACGAUGAGUGCUAAGUGUUGAUCUCAUAAGAGAUCAGUGCUGCAGCUAACGCAUUAAGCACUCCGCCUGGGGAGUACGACCGCAAGGUUGAAACUCAAAGGAAUUGACGG